UCCAGUCUUGUGUUGUUUGUUUACUACUACUAAUUACUACUUAGUACUACUAAGUACUAACAGCUCUUUUUGGGAGUGUUUUUAUUUCAUCAGGAGUCUCUGAGGGUCUCCUUCACUUGCCUGUUUGAUGAAUUUUCCACAUUGGUGCUUGCUCAGUGGGUAGAUGGAGUAAUGAAUGUAUGGGUACAAGGACUGCUGCUGUUAUCUGUCCAGCCAUCUGGAAUACCUCUGAGCCUUGAGUUCCAGACAACAGACAUUGCGCUCCUAAACAUUACGAUAAUGCCUUUAGAAAUCCAAAACCCUUGACAAUGAUAUCAGUAGGCUCAUUAUGUUGCAAGACUACUGAUUUUUGAUGCUGGUCAGACAGGACCUCAGUGAUGAUAGAAAAUUUAAGGAGGAGAAUGUAAGCCAUUAGCAAUAGAUAAACAUUUAGCUAGCAACAGUUUCUAUUUAGCCAGUAUGCCCAUGUACAGUUAAGCAUCGGGAAGGUCUGUGAACCUGAAAUACUCAGGCAAUGAGGAAUCAGGGGAAAAGGUGAGCAUCAAGGUAAUAGGGCAUGUUCUUUGCUUUGUAAUAGGGUUUUGUUUGCUUUUCAUUCAGUAUCAUUUCUUACCAUUACGCAGCGUUUGUCUUGUCUUGUUUUUCAUGUUGCCAAUCAACAUUUAGUUGGAGCUUGGGUGACCCGAAUGCAUACAACUAAGUGUUGACCAAGUGUGAUGUGAAAUGAAGAGGUAGGCUCCAAAACAGGCUUCUAGUGAGUGCUGUGUACAACAUGGAGUAUCGAGAACUACCUCUGUUUCUCCCUGCCCCAUGUUGUUCAGUACCAGACGUGAAGGUUUCUUCUUUCCUUCUAGGGUUGGAGACUCCACUAUCAGAUGGCAUUGGCCUUUCAAGCCUCCCCGGGUUGUAGCGCUGGUUGUGCCCUGAUCCUUGGAAAGGGGAACUGAUUCCUUCAUCAUUACCUGAUGGUGACGUCUACUUAUCUUGUGUCCAGUGAGCGGUGGUGGAAAAACUGCGGCUCUCCCGAGUGGUGCAAGGACUCUACUGAGGCUCAUUGUGUUUAUAGUAGAAAACUACAGCCAUAGAUGGAUGCCAAUAUCCACUCCUUACUCUGUCUGGCAAGCUGUGUUGAUCUCUGAAGUUGCUCCCACACUUGUAGAAGUUCUUUGGGCUCAGCAUCAGUUGUCUCUUGCACUCACAUGGCUUUCACCAGUUGGAGCUACAGUGAGCCCAAAUGGUGACUGCUCUGCUUUGACCAAGUGAGAUGCAAAAAGAAGAGGCCCAGAAGAUGGGAACAAAGGAGUUUCUGCUGAGAUCCCAGAGCCAGAAGCUGCCGCUCCAAGGAGAGCUGACUCAACCACAUUGGAUUUGAGCUGUCACUCCAAAGACAGCUGACUCGACCACUUUGAAACUAUUGAAAAGGGGCUGUCAUCGCCAUGGUCAUGGCCGUCGUUCUCAUCAUUCUCCUCGUUGUCAACAGAACAAUGCCUGACGAC
Long non-coding RNA from Lagopus muta (rock ptarmigan), 1496 nucleotides. RefSeq lists it as uncharacterized. Lineage: Eukaryota; Metazoa; Chordata; Aves; Galliformes; Phasianidae. The record is from RefSeq and is a predicted model, not a curated record. The transcript is spliced from 3 exons.